CGCCCUCCUCAGCGUGUCUUGGAGGGUUCACACAGCAGCGAGGUCACAAAAAAAACCGCGCCACGGCUCGCCCCCACCCACAGGACGACAGCACCCAGACAGAAGGAAGCUGCAAGCACGCGGAUACGUCGCUGUUGUUGUCGUGCGCAUCAUGAGUGUCCUACAUGAGGUGCUGGUCAACGAGACAAUCAUAGAGGCGGUGCGGGUGGCUCUUGACAAAUACACCGCCGAGGGGCAUCAGCUCUCCGCAGCAAGCGGUGACGGCGGCCUCUCCGUGGAAGAAGAGAAUUUAAUCCGUAGUGGUGUUCUUGCCGGGUUGCAGGAUCUCUGCGCAGCCGCCCAGCAGAGCCUCACCCGCAUGGCAUCACUGGAAAACGCCAAGGGGGCGGACGGCGUCGCGCAUUUGCGUCCGGCGACAGCAAUGACCCCGACCACGCCGCGGGCGUGGAAUUCCGCUCUCGCACGACUGGGACGCAACGCAACGGCGAUGCAAGAUGUCGUGCAGCAGGCGGUGUCCAGCAUCUGGGCCCAUCUGUGCAGCGGUAUGAACCGCAAAGGAAACGGUGUCGAGCUCAUCGCCGCCACCGCUGUCUACGCGGCCACCCCGGAGGUGACUCGAGCACUGGAAGCCGCUGCCGCAGCGCAGCACGCUCUUGCAGGGGAUGAUGCCUUGCCAGCGGACGCUGCGUCGCCGAUGCCGGCCGGGAGUAUUGCCGUGCGUUUAAGCACUUUCUCUUCUGCGGAGUGGGCGUGGCUGUCGGCUACCCUCGUGCUUGGCUACCUGAUUGUGUUCUUUGUGUUUGGGCGUAUACUGGGUUUUGGUGCUGUGCUCAACCGGCGGCGGCCGCGGACGACGACGGUGCUGAUUGGCCUGCCCGGCAGCGGAAAGACGGCACUCUUCGUGCAGCUGGUGCACCAUCAGCAGCUCUUCGAUUCACGGACAAGUAUGCGCGAAAACAGUGGAUACAUGUGUGCAGCUGCGCAGCAUGGCCGCUCCAACAGCACGGCAGGGGUGAAGGUUGUCGACUGCCCUGGGCAUCCGCGCCUGCACCAGGGAAUGUUGCGCGCCCUCAAUGAAGCCGUCAACGUCGUCGUGGUCAUCGACUCCGUCACCGUCCAGGACAAUCAACAAGAGGGCGUUGCCGCGCUGGCGGAGUUUCUUUUCAAUGUUUUGCAGUCACCUGAGUUCUACGGGGUCCGCCGGCUCCUCUUUGCGUGCACGAAGCGCGACGAGGUGAUCAGCUACGCCUCCAAGGCGGUGCGCAAGCUUCUAGAGGCGGCCAUGGUUCCCUCGAUCGAGUCGCGGAAGAAUGCGAUGGGCCGCGUGGAGAGCGUACGCGACGGCAACAACGCGGUCAUCACCGGGGAGGGCAAGCCUGGCGGCGGGAGAAGCGGUGGUGGCCGUCGGUACAUGCUCUCCUUGGACGGCGCGGACAGCGAUGACGGCGGAGGGCAGGCGCCGCCUCGCCAUGGGCCUUUGCGUGGGGCGGCCGGAGCGAGUGCGAAGAGCUUCAGUUUUGACCAGCUGGGGAUUCCUCUGGCAUUUGUGGACGUGAGCAGCCGGCCGAACGCGGCGGAGCACAAGUACUCGAUCGCCAUUGUCGAAGACUUCCUGCUGGGGAACGGCUGAGGGAGCGGAUGUGUCGGCGUUGAAAAGAAAAGAGAAGUAGACCACAAUGACGGAAGGCUGGUGGGUCGGUAAGGAGAGGUAGACGAGGUCGUGCUGACGAGUGUCCCGUGUCGAGAGGGUUUCCCUCGAGUCUUUCUUUUUGUUGCUGUGUGGAGCACCGGCGCUCUCGAGCACGUCUGUGCGCUCGUGGUUCUCUGCCCCCCCCCCAGUCAUGCAUCUUUCUCAUUUCUGUUGUUUUUUGAUACCCUUGUCGUCGCUGCUGGCGUGGGGGCGCCUCUGUGUGCGUGUUUGUGUGGGCGCGUGCAGAGAUGCGCGUUUGGUGGGUGUGGCCUCUUGUGCAUUUCCCGGCUUUCUCCCGUCAUUUACGUCCCUCUCUGUCUCUCGUCAUCUUGUGCGCAUAAUUUCUUGUUCUUUGCUGCCCACACCGUUGCUGUGAACUUCUCCGCCCUCGCUCCUUCUCUCUCGGUCUCCUUGCGCCUUUUUGGGUCGGCGUACGGGUUCUUUGUGCACGCACGUGCGGAUUUCGUGUUGUCAUCUUUUCGUGCACUUGUUGGCUCCUUUCGCAUCCUUGUCCACGUACACGUGCUCACAUGUCCGUGAGAGCAUGACAUACGGAACCGGAGUGGCGAAACCCCCCCCCCCCAAAAAAAAAAAAACGCCUCUCUACCCUUCCUUACCCCCCCCCCCCCCGAUGGGGACGGGGGCAUGGAAAGGGCACAACACCCUUCGGUGCGUGGUAUCGCAGGGUUCAGUACGCCCAUCCUCCUUGUCGGUGUGUGUGUGUGUGUGUGUCUGUGGCGACAUCUAAAAGCCAAGCCAGUUGCUGUUCCAGUGUUCGUGCAUAGCAACAAGAGCGAAGAAAAGACCAAACAACGGCAAGGGCACGCGCAGUCCCUACAGUGCGUGCGUGCGUGCAAAUGCUUCCAGGGGCUACCGCAAGAGCUCCGUCAUCUAUGAUGGCACGGGUUGUUGCGUGCGGGAGCACACACUCUUAUACACGCACGCAUACAUGCAUACGUAGCUGCCGACGCGAUCCUCAUCUCUCUCCCUUGUGUAGCUACCUAUGCCGUGCAGCGGUAACGGUGGGUGCUCGACACCCUUUUGCUUUUUUCUUG
Molecule: unclassified non-coding RNA, 2745 nt
Filed under: Leishmania donovani
Lineage: Eukaryota; Euglenozoa; Kinetoplastea; Trypanosomatida; Trypanosomatidae
Description: gene:LdHU3.33.3900(CDS-product:Signal_recognition _particle_receptor_beta_subunit/Elongation_factor_Tu_GTP_bi nding_domain_containing_protein_putative)
Source: RNAcentral